RNAcentral lists this ribosomal RNA (492 nucleotides) under uncultured bacterium. RNAcentral's name for it is "partial 16S ribosomal RNA". It matches the Rfam family "Bacterial small subunit ribosomal RNA", at positions 29 to 507 of the family's 1533-position model. The record is from RNAcentral.
AGUGAACGCUGGCGGUAGGCCUAACACAUGCAAGUCGAACGGCAGCACAGUAAGAGCUUGCUCUUACGGGUGGCGAGUGGCGGACGGGUGAGGAAUACAUCGGAAUCUACUUUUUCGUGGGGGAUAACGUAGGGAAACUUACGCUAAUACCGCAUACGACCUACGGGUGAAAGCAGGGGAUCUUCGGACCUUGCGCGAUUGAAUGAGCCGAUGUCGGGUUAGCUAGUUGGCGGGGUAAAGGCCCACCAAGGCGACGAUCCGUAGCUGGUCUGAGAGGAUGAUCGGCCACACUGGAACUGAGACACGGUCCAGACUCCUACGGGAGGCAGCAGUGGGGAAUAUUGGACAAUGGGCGCAAGCCUGAUCCAGCCAUACCGCGUGGGUGAAGAAGGCCUUCGGGUUGUAAAGCCCUUUUGUUGGGAAAGAAAAGCAGCAGGUGAAUACCCCGCUGUUCUGACGGUACCCAAAGAAUAAGCACCGGCUAACUUCGUG